This 186-nucleotide non-coding RNA is filed under the name Clostridiales bacterium. RNAcentral describes it as "6S RNA". It matches the Rfam family "6S / SsrS RNA". From Rfam's summary of the family: E. coli 6S RNA was the first non coding RNA to be sequenced, but its function was unknown until recently. It consists of 184 nucleotides that fold into an extended hairpin structure with a large single-stranded internal bulge. The record is from RNAcentral. Lineage: Bacteria; Bacillati; Bacillota; Clostridia; Eubacteriales.
UAAUUCCUGCCCUGUGCGCGGUUGUGGCUUUUAUAACCCUACAACAAUAUUAUAGGGAGCCCGGGCUCCUGCGGCGGAUUGCAGACCUCCCGCUGCGGCGGACGAAGGGAGCGUGAACCCGUGGGGAGGGCACCCACCUGCCAUUUGCAGGUUAUCAUUAGCUGCCAACGGCAGGGCGGGAAAUGA